Molecule: ribosomal RNA, 464 nt
Filed under: uncultured bacterium
Lineage: Bacteria
Description: partial 16S ribosomal RNA
Rfam family: Bacterial small subunit ribosomal RNA
Source: RNAcentral
CUACGGGUGGCUGCAGUGGGGAAUAUUGCACAAUGGGCGCAAGCCUGAUGCAGCCAUGCCGCGUGUAUGAAGAAGGCCUUCGGGUUGUAAAGUACUUUCAGCGGGGAGGAAGGGAGUAAAGUUAAUACCUUUGCUCAUUGACGUUACCCGCAGAAGAAGCACCGGCAAACUCCGUGCCAGCAGCCGCGGUAAUACGGAGGGUGCAAGCGUUAAUCGGAAUUACUGGGCGUAAAGCGCACGCAGGCGGCUUGUUAAGUCAGAUGUGAAAUCCCCGGGCUCAACCUGGGAACUGCAUCUGAUACUGGCAAGCUUGAGUCUCGUAGAGGGGGGUAGAAUUCCAGGUGUAGCGGUGAAAUGCGUAGAGAGCUGGAGGAAUACCGGUGGCGAAGGCGGCCCCCUGGACGAAGACUGACGCUCAGGUGCGAAAGCGUGGGGAGCAAACAGGAUUAGAUACCCCCGUAGUC